This 79-nucleotide microRNA precursor is filed under the name Danio rerio (zebrafish). RNAcentral's name for it is "mir-130 microRNA precursor family". It matches the Rfam family "mir-130 microRNA precursor family". From Rfam's summary of the family: The hairpin precursors (represented here) are predicted based on base pairing and cross-species conservation -- their extents are not known. In this case the mature sequence is excised from the 3' arm of the hairpin. Lineage: Eukaryota; Metazoa; Chordata; Actinopteri; Cypriniformes; Danionidae. The record is from Rfam by way of RNAcentral. RNAcentral also lists the same sequence under 8 other names.
UUUUGUCCAUUGCCCUUUUUCUGUUGUACUACUGGCCAAUCAGAAGAGCAGUGCAAUAUUAAAAGGGCAUUGGCUGAUA